GCUGGAAUUGCUAGUAAUGGCAGGUCAGCAUACUGCCGUGAAUACGUUCCCGGGCCUUGUACACACCGCCCGUCACACCAUGAGAGUUGGGGAUACCCGAAGCCUGUGAGCUAACAUUAUGAGGCAGCAGUCGAAGGUAGAAUCAAUGAUUGGGGUGAAGUCGUAACAAGGUAAC
Molecule: ribosomal RNA, 175 nt
Filed under: uncultured bacterium
Lineage: Bacteria
Description: partial 16S ribosomal RNA
Rfam family: Bacterial small subunit ribosomal RNA
Source: RNAcentral